UAGGGAAUCUUCCACAAUGGGCGCAAGCCUGAUGGAGCAACACCGCGUGAGUGAAGAAGGUUUUCGGAUCGUAAAGCUCUGUUGUAAGAGAAGAACGUGUGUGAGAGUGGAAAGUUCACACAGUGACGGUAACUUACCAGAAAGAGACGGCUAACUACGUGCCAG
This 165-nucleotide ribosomal RNA is filed under the name uncultured bacterium. RNAcentral's name for it is "partial 16S rRNA". It matches the Rfam family "Bacterial small subunit ribosomal RNA", at positions 355 to 511 of the family's 1533-position model. The record is from RNAcentral.